Molecule: transfer RNA, 69 nt
Filed under: Nothrotheriops shastensis (Shasta ground sloth)
Lineage: Eukaryota; Metazoa; Chordata; Mammalia; Pilosa; Megatheriidae
Description: tRNA-His
Rfam family: tRNA
About the family: Transfer RNA (tRNA) molecules are approximately 80 nucleotides in length. Their secondary structure includes four short double-helical elements and three loops (D, anti-codon, and T loops).
Source: RNAcentral
GUAGGUAUAGUUUACCAAAAACACCAGAUUGUGGAUCUGGAAAUAGGGCCCCACAAACCCUUACCGACC